RNAcentral lists this ribosomal RNA (476 nucleotides) under uncultured bacterium. RNAcentral describes it as "bacterial SSU rRNA". It matches the Rfam family "Bacterial small subunit ribosomal RNA", at positions 1 to 507 of the family's 1533-position model. The record is from RNAcentral.
ACGACGAGUUUGAUCAUGGCUCAGCCUGAACGCUGGCGGCGUGGCUAAGACAUGCAAGUCGCACGGAUGUAGCAAUACAUUAGUGGCGAACGGGUGAGUAAUAAAUCGCUAACGUACCUUGGGCUCUGGGAUAGCCGGUUGAAAGAUCGGGUAAUACCGGAUGAUACCUUCCUGCCGCAUGGUGGGGAGCUCAAAGCUCCGGCGGCCUGGGAGCGGGCGAUUCCGUAUCAGCUAGUUGGUGAGGUAAUGGCUCACCAAGGCAACGACGCGUAACCGGACUGAGAGGUUGGCCGGUCACAUUGGGACUGAGACACUGCCCAGACUCCUACGGGGGGCUGCAGUAACGAAUCUUCCGCAAUGCACGAAAGUGUGACGGAGCGACGCCGCGUGUAGGAUGAAGUCCCUCGGGAUGUAAACUACUGUCAGGGGUUAGAAAGUUCUGAUCAACCCCAGAGGAAGGGACGGCUAACUCUGUG